GGGUUGUGAGGUUAAGCGACUAAGCGUACACGGUGGAUGCCCUGGCAGUCAGAGGCGAUGAAGGGCGUGCUAAUCUGCGAUAAGCGCCGGUAAGGUGAUAUGAACCGUUAUAACCGGCGAUACCCGAAUGGGGAAACCCAGUGUGACUCGUCACACUAUCAUUAACUGAAUCCAUAGGUUAAUGAGGCGAACCGGGGGAACUGAAACAUCUAAGUACCCCGAGGAAAAGAAAUCAACCGAGAUUCCCCCAGUAGCGGCGAGCGAACGGGGAGGAGCCCAGAGCCUGAAUCAGCAUGUGUGUUAGUGGAAGCGUCUGGAAAGGCGCGCGAUACAGGGUGACAGCCCCGUACACAAAAGCGCAUGUGCUGUGAGCUCGAUGAGUAGGGCGGGACACGUGGUAUCCUGUCUGAAUAUGGGGGGACCAUCCUCCAAGGCUAAAUACUCCUGACUGACCGAUAGUGAACCAGUACCGUGAGGGAAAGGCGAAAAGAACCCCGGCGAGGGGAGUGAAAAAGAACCUGAAACCGUGUACGUACAAGCAGUGGGAGCACAGGUUUACCUGUGUGACUGCGUACCUUUUGUAUAAUGGGUCAGCGACUUAUAUUCUGUAGCAAGGUUAACCGCAUAGGGGAGCCGGAGGGAAACCGAGUCUUAAUUGGGCGUUAAGUUGCAGGGUAUAGACCCGAAACCCGGUGAUCUAGCCAUGGGCAGGUUGAAGGUUGGGUAACACUAACUGGAGGACCGAACCGACUAAUGUUGAAAAAUUAGCGGAUGACCUGUGGCUGGGGGUGAAAGGCCAAUCAAACCGGGAGAUAGCUGGUUCUCCCCGAAAGCUAUUUAGGUAGCGCCUCGUGAAUUCAUCUCCGGGGGUAGAGCACUGUUUCGGCUAGGGGGCCAUCCCGGCUUACCAACCCGAUGCAAACUGCGAAUACCGGAGAAUGUUAUCACGGGAGACACACGGCGGGUGCUAACGUCCGUCGUGAAGAGGGAAACAACCCAGACCGCCAGCUAAGGUCCCAAAGUCAUGGUUAAGUGGGAAACGAUGUGGGAAGGCCCAGACAGCCAGGAUGUUGGCUUAGAAGCAGCCAUCAUUUAAAGAAAGCGUAAUAGCUCACUGGUCGAGUCGGCCUGCGCGGAAGAUGUAACGGGGCUAAACCAUGCACCGAAGCUGCGGCAGCGACGCUUAUGCGUUGUUGGGUAGGGGAGCGUUCUGUAAGCCUGUGAAGGUGGCCUGUGAGGGUUGCUGGAGGUAUCAGAAGUGCGAAUGCUGACAUAAGUAACGAUAAAGCGGGUGAAAAGCCCGCUCGCCGGAAGACCAAGGGUUCCUGUCCAACGUUAAUCGGGGCAGGGUGAGUCGACCCCUAAGGCGAGGCCGAAAGGCGUAGUCGAUGGGAAACGGGUUAAUAUUCCCGUACUUGGUGUUACUGCGAAGGGGGGACGGAGAAGGCUAUGUUGGCCGGGCGACGGUUGUCCCGGUUUAAGCGUGUAGGUGUGUGUUCCAGGUAAAUCCGGUUCACUUUAACACUGAGGCGUGACGACGAGGCACUACGGUGCUGAAGCAACAAAUGCCCUGCUUCCAGGAAAAGCCUCUAAGCAUCAGGUAACAUCAAAUCGUACCCCAAACCGACACAGGUGGUCAGGUAGAGAAUACCAAGGCGCUUGAGAGAACUCGGGUGAAGGAACUAGGCAAAAUGGUGCCGUAACUUCGGGAGAAGGCACGCUGACACGUAGGUGAAGUGAUUUACUCAUGGAGCUGAAGUCAGUCGAAGAUACCAGCUGGCUGCAACUGUUUAUUAAAAACACAGCACUGUGCAAACACGAAAGUGGACGUAUACGGUGUGACGCCUGCCCGGUGCCGGAAGGUUAAUUGAUGGGGUCAGCGCAAGCGAAGCUCCUGAUCGAAGCCCCGGUAAACGGCGGCCGUAACUAUAACGGUCCUAAGGUAGCGAAAUUCCUUGUCGGGUAAGUUCCGACCUGCACGAAUGGCGUAAUGAUGGCCAGGCUGUCUCCACCCGAGACUCAGUGAAAUUGAACUCGCUGUGAAGAUGCAGUGUACCCGCGGCAAGACGGAAAGACCCCGUGAACCUUUACUAUAGCUUGACACUGAACAUUGAGCCUUGAUGUGUAGGAUAGGUGGGAGGCUUUGAAGUGUGGACGCCAGUCUGCAUGGAGCCGACCUUGAAAUACCACCCUUUAAUGUUUGAUGUUCUAACGUGGACCCGUAAUCCGGGUUGCGGACAGUGUCUGGUGGGUAGUUUGACUGGGGCGGUCUCCUCCUAAAGAGUAACGGAGGAGCACGAAGGUUGGCUAAUCCUGGUCGGACAUCAGGAGGUUAGUGCAAUGGCAUAAGCCAGCUUGACUGCGAGCGUGACGGCGCGAGCAGGUGCGAAAGCAGGUCAUAGUGAUCCGGUGGUUCUGAAUGGAAGGGCCAUCGCUCAACGGAUAAAAGGUACUCCGGGGAUAACAGGCUGAUACCGCCCAAGAGUUCAUAUCGACGGCGGUGUUUGGCACCUCGAUGUCGGCUCAUCACAUCCUGGGGCUGAAGUAGGUCCCAAGGGUAUGGCUGUUCGCCAUUUAAAGUGGUACGCGAGCUGGGUUUAGAACGUCGUGAGACAGUUCGGUCCCUAUCUGCCGUGGGCGCUGGAGAACUGAGGGGGGCUGCUCCUAGUACGAGAGGACCGGAGUGGACGCAUCACUGGUGUUCGGGUUGUCAUGCCAAUGGCACUGCCCGGUAGCUAAAUGCGGAAGAGAUAAGUGCUGAAAGCAUCUAAGCACGAAACUUGCCCCGAGAUGAGUUCUCCCUGAGACUUAGAGUCUCCUGAAGGAACGUUGAAGACGACGACGUUGAUAGGCCGGGUGUGUAAGCGCAGCGAUGCGUUGAGCUAACCGGUACUAAUGAACCGUGAGGCUUAACCUUACAACGCCGAAG
This 2929-nucleotide ribosomal RNA is filed under the name Salmonella enterica subsp. enterica serovar Albany str. ATCC 51960. RNAcentral's name for it is "bacterial LSU rRNA". It matches the Rfam family "Bacterial large subunit ribosomal RNA". The record is from RNAcentral. Lineage: Bacteria; Pseudomonadati; Pseudomonadota; Gammaproteobacteria; Enterobacterales; Enterobacteriaceae.